This 459-nucleotide ribosomal RNA is filed under the name uncultured bacterium. Its description in RNAcentral is "partial 16S ribosomal RNA". It matches the Rfam family "Bacterial small subunit ribosomal RNA", at positions 338 to 795 of the family's 1533-position model. The record is from RNAcentral.
CCUACGGGAGGCAGCAGUGAGGAAUAUUGGUCAAUGGCCGAGACGCUGAACCAGCCAAGUCGCGUGAGGGAAGAAGGCUCUACGGGUUGUAAACCUCUUUUGUCGGGGAGCAAAUAGAGACACGUGUUACCUAUUGAGCGUACCCGAAGAAAAAGCAUAGGGAAACUCCGUGCCAGCGGCGGCGGUAAUUGGGCGGAUGAGAGGGUUAUCCGGAUUUCUUGGGUGAUAAGGGUGCGCGGGCGGGGGUGAAAGUGAGCGGUCAAAUUGCGGGGCUCAACCCCGUACUGCCGUUGAACCUGCAUACCUUGAGUGCACGAGAGGUAUGCGGAAUGCGUGGUGUAGCGGUGAAAUGCGUAGAUAUCAGGCAGAACUCCGGUGGCGAAGGCAGCAUACCGGAGCGUAACUGACGCUGAUGCACGAAAGCGUGGGGAGCGAACAGGAUUAGAUACCCUGGUAGUC